GACGAACGCUGGCGGCGUGCUUAACACAUGCAAGUCGAGCGGUAAGGCUCCUUCGGGAGUACACGAGCGGUGAACGGGUGAGUAACACGUGAGCAAUCUGCCCUUCACACAGGGAUAACUCCGGGAAACCGAAGCUAAUACCUGAUACGACCACUUCAGGCAUCUGAUGGUGGUGGAAAGUUCCGGCGGUGAAGGAUGAGCUCGCGGCCUAUCAGCUUGUUGGUGGGGUAACGGCCCACCAAGGCAACGACGGGUAGCCGGCCUGAGAGGGUGACCGGCCACACUGGGACUGAGACACGGCCCAGACUCCUACGGGAGGCAGCAGUGGGGAAUAUUGGACAAUGGGCGAAAGCCUGAUCCAGCAACGCCGCGUGAGGGAUGACGGCCUUCGGGUUGUAAACCUCUUUCAGCAGGGACGAAGCGCAAGUGACGGUACCUGCAGAAGAAGCACCGGCCAACUACGUGCCAGCCGCCGCCGUAA
This 481-nucleotide ribosomal RNA is filed under the name uncultured bacterium. RNAcentral describes it as "partial 16S ribosomal RNA". It matches the Rfam family "Bacterial small subunit ribosomal RNA", at positions 28 to 523 of the family's 1533-position model. The record is from RNAcentral.